Non-coding RNA from Arachis ipaensis, 456 nucleotides. NCBI's taxonomy places the organism in Eukaryota, Viridiplantae, Streptophyta, Magnoliopsida, Fabales, Fabaceae. The record is from RefSeq and is a predicted model, not a curated record.
UAAUGUAGGUUUCCAUGGAAUCUAUUAAAAUGGAAAAUAAGCAAUUACGAAAGACCUAUUGUGUAGAUGCUGAAUCAUUCUAUAUGAGAAUCUUGUGUGUAAAAUUUCUGCCAUUUUGCCAGAGCUUCAAGAACUUGAUGGUAUAUGGAGGAAUCAGGAGAGGUGGGAAGGAUGAAAGGAGAAAGGUGCUAUCAAAGUUUCUAUUUCAGACUUUAGUUCCCUUGUUUACUUUCUGAUAACAAGUCAUUACCUAAAUGAAUACUUGGGAAUUUUAAUAUCCGACACUUUAGUUUCCCAAGUUUUAGAAUAUAUAAAACAGUCUCUAAUGUUUACCUUUGUUAGACAAUAUAAGACUCCCAGUAUUUAUCAUGCUUUCCAUCUCGCGCAAGCUAUUUCAUAACAUGUCAUAGCAAUCAUUAGUGUGGUGGCCAUAUAUGCGUUGAUACUUUUCUUGCU